UGGGGAAUAUUGCACAAUGGGCGCAAGCCUGAUGCAGCAACGCCGCGUGAGGGAUGACGGCCUUCGGGUUGUAAACCUCUUUUAGUAGGGAAGAAGCGAAAGUGACGGUACCUGCAGAAAAAGCACCGGCUAACUACGUGCCAGCAGCCGCGGUAAUACGUAGGGUGCGAGCGUUGUCCGGAAUUAUUGGGCGUAAAGAGCUCGUAGGCGGUCUGUCGCGUCUGCUGUGAAAACCCCGAGGCUCAACCUCGGGCCUGCAGUGGGUACGGGCAGACUAGAGUGCGGUAGGGGAGAAUGGAAUUCCUGGUGUAGCGGUGGAAUGCGCAGAUAUCAGGAGGAACACCGAUGGCGAAGGCGAGUUCUCUGGGCCGUAACUGACGCUGAGGAGCGAAAGCGUGGGGAGCGAACAGGAUUAGAUACCCUGGUAGUCCACGCCGUAAACGUUGGGCGCUAGAUGUGGGGACCAUUCCACGGUUUCCGUGUCGCAGCUAACGCAUUAAGCGCCCCGCCUGGGGAGUACGGCCGCAAGGCUAAAA
Molecule: ribosomal RNA, 536 nt
Filed under: uncultured bacterium
Lineage: Bacteria
Description: partial 16S ribosomal RNA
Rfam family: Bacterial small subunit ribosomal RNA
Source: RNAcentral